UUUGGUCCAUGCUUUUACUUUGUUGACUUAAAAAAUAAUCACAACCUAAAGACCGAGAGUUAUGUUUUAUUUGGUAGGAAUUUUUAGGACUUCAAUCCCAACAGACAGCAUCUCAAGGAAUCCUGAGAGAAUUGCUCUGAGGAGGGGUGGGCAGGAAGUAAGGGGUCAGGUCCUAUAGAAGAAGUGAAGUGAAGUCACUCAGUCGUGUCUGACUCUUUGCGACCCCAUGGACUGUAGCCUAACAGGAUCCUCCGUCCAUGAGAUUUUCCAGGCAAGAGUACUGGAGUGGGUUGCCGUUUCCUUCUCCAGGGGAUCUUCCCGACCCAGGGAUCAAACCCGGGGCUCCUGCGUUGUAGGCAGAUGCUUUACCGUCUGAGCCAGAAGUUUGUAACAGAGGGCUGGUAGCCUGAACAUCAAGAGAUUGUUGUGAAUUAAAGAAGACUAGAUCUCUCAAGUUAAGGGGUUUAGCACCUUUUUAUGUGUGAGAAGAUGCAGCAGUCUGAUCACUGAAAUCAUUGCUUCCAUCAUCUCAGCUGGGAAUAUCUAAGCAGGAGACCUGAAUCUGCUUGCAAUAAAGAAGAAAAAGUUAAAAAAACAAAAAACAGAAAACAUGUGCUGUAGCAAGUUACAGGAUUCUCCAGGCAAGAAGACUGGAGUGGGUUGCCAUGCCCUCCUCCAGGGAUCUUCCCGACCCAGUGAUCGAACCCACACCUCUUGCAUCUCCUGCACUGGCAGGCAGGUUCUUUACCACUAGUGCCAGCUCUGGGAUGCAGUCUCCUUUCUGAAGACAGAGCAACUGCUGGCCUUUGAGGGUUAUACUGCUUCUCAAUGCACUCACCUAACAACACGUUAAAAAUCAUUUCUAUUCAAAGUGUCUACCUACUGCCUCACUUCAGAAAUAAAUCAAUGGAGAAGAGUGUUCUGGUUACCAUGCUGUGUAAGAAACUUCUAAAAGUAGUGGCUUAAAAGGACAAUUGUUUUGUUUAUGUGGGUCAGGAGCUUAUACGAGUGUUGAGGAAGCCUGUCACACAUCCAUGUCCGAAGGUUAUCUCCUCUUGAGAACAGAAUUGGAGUGGGGCAACAAGGGAAAUCAACCCUGAAUAUUCAUCAGAAGGACUGAUGCUGAUGCUGAAGCUCCAGCACUUUGGCCACCUGAUGCAAAGAGCUGACUCAUUGGAAAGACCUUGAUGCUGGGAAAGAUUGAAGGCAGGAGGAGAAGGGGGUGACAGAGGAUGAAAUGGUUGGAUGGCAUCAUCAACUCAGGGGACAUGAGUUUGAGGAAACUCCAGAAGAUAGUGAAGGACACGGAAGCCUGGCAUACUGCGGUUCAUGGGGUCACCAAGAAUUGGACAUGAACAAGAACUGAACAACAACAAAAAUCAGAGGUCCUCGUUGCAGCAGGCAGGAUCUUUCAUUGUGGUGUGUGGACUCUCUAGUCAUGGCCCGUGGACUCAGUAGUUGCAACACACAGGCUUAGUUUCUCUGAGGAACCCCACACUAGGAGAACUUUUGGUCCCACAGAACUUUGGGCCUCUCCUUAUAAACAGCCCAGCAGGGGUCUCACUACUUUGAUUACUUGCGGUCUGCCUGUCUGUCCAGCGUGAAGGACCCAGACAACAGAAGGACUGGCCUUGCUUCUCACUGUGUGUUCUUACCAGACACAAUCUCCAUCAUGACCAUUAACAGCAGCGGGUUAAAAUGUAACCAUUACAAAUCAUCUACGCCAGCGCCUGAGUUGAUGAGUUAGAGGAGAAGAGGACAAACAGGAGAAAUCUAAGGGCAAGGUGAGGUGGGGGUGGGAGACAGCGUCUCCUUUUCCACCCUUUCUCCAAAACCUUCCCUAGUUUUAUUUCCCAUUUGCUCAGCCGCGUGUUCUCACACUCUCCUUUACCUCGAGGGCUGACUGUUGGACGCGCCCAGGAGAAGAACGUGAAGGCCUGCAGAUAAAGCAGGCACUGACACAUCCCAGAGUCCAGGUCACUGGUUUUCUCUGACGGGCUUCGCCAGGCUGGGUGGGAGAAGAGAAGGCCACCCGGAAAGCACGUGGCUCAGUGGGAAUUAUAAGUCAGCUCUGAGCUCCUCCGAGGAUUUAUAUUCAACUGAAGACGUGUCCAAUGCAGGACCUUAUGUUUCUCUGUUUUCUUUCUGCUUACAUGGAAAAAUAACAGUUAAUAUAGCCAACUAUCCCAAGGCAGAAGAGUAUUAUUAAAAAAGAAUACUUUGCAACAUUACUGAUUUCUCAAGACACUGUCAGAUAUUUUAAGAUUUGGAUUUAAUAAACCAUAAUAUGAUUUCUUUUAUAGGA
Molecule: long non-coding RNA, 2305 nt
Organism: Dama dama (fallow deer)
Lineage: Eukaryota; Metazoa; Chordata; Mammalia; Artiodactyla; Cervidae
Exons: 5
Source: RefSeq, a predicted model, not a curated record